GAACAAAAAAGAGAGACAGUUGCAGUAAUAGAUAAAUUAUAGUUCUGCUAAUCACCAACUACAGUCUACAUUAAGCAAAGUUAGAAACAGAGAAUCACUGCACUAGGGAACUAAUAAAGUUCCGCCCUCAAUUAUUCCCAAAAUAUUAGCAUAUACAGGUCCGAAAUCAAAUAAAUAAUGCCAUUCAACUAUUUUACAUUCGAUUGCAAAAACCUAUCUUCUCACCCUAAUCAAAGGGUCGAGUUCUAGCAAUACUUACAAUGGGUCAAAAGAAUUUUCCUAAUCUAGGAUUUGCAGUGCCUUCAACACAUGCAACUGUUCAGUAACAAUUGCCCUCGAACCCAGCUAAGCUUAAGUUACAAUCAUGGUGGCUGAGGUAAUGGAGAACUGCACACUAAAGUUAGAUGUUGCAGUGGUGGUGAAACUGAACCCCGAAUGCACUUGACAAAAUUUUACAUUUCAGUUCUUGUCAACUAUUUUCCAAGAUCUAGGAUCAGAAGAUUUCAGUAUCCAUUCCUAAAAUUGAAGGGCUAAAAACUCAAAACCAAGCUCACACGCGUAUAUAUAUAUCUCAAAAUUUCAAAUGUCUGUAUAUGUGUAAGAACCUACUUUUAACUAGCCAAUCUUCUUCAUAUCCACAAGGCAUGAUUACAAAGGAAACCAAACGCGUGUGUGUGGGAGAGAGAUAUUUCACAUAUUAAACACUUUGAUUAAAGAGACAUUGAAAAUAGUAAGACAACAGAAUAUGUAAAUAACAACUUAAUAGCACAUAUAAGAUAAAUAUAAAUAUACAUUUAAGUUGAUCAAUUCAAAAAUUGCAUGAGAGUUGAGACCAUUAGCUUUGUCUACUUGUAGAGAUUGAAGGUAACAUUUUAGUUUGACUGUCAUGAAAGAAAGAAGAGCUAAAUGAAAAUAUAUAUAAAAGGAAAGGGAAAGCAAAAGUUCAUAUUGAGAAAUCCCAUUUCAUUUGGGAUGAUGUGAUAGGGAAUUAUUAAAUUGAUUUCUACUAACCAUCAAAAACAACUAUCAAUCAAAUUUUAAUUCGUAAAUAUAAAAAUUUAAAUAAUUAAUUUUUAAUUGAACUUUCAUAGUUCAUACUCAAUAAUAACUAAGUAAUUUUGAUACUUCAGCUUAAAUCAUAAUAAACAAAUUAUAAACUAUUAAGGGUUAACAGAAAAUUUGUGGAGGCCAAUUAAUAAAAAAAAAAUUCAUAAUUUACCACAUCUAUUUUAAAAAUUUUUAUAAAUGUUUUGGGGGCAAAACCUCCCUUGUCCCCCUUCCUCCACCCUUGCUGUCAAGUUUUAUAAAUGUCA
RNAcentral lists this unclassified non-coding RNA (1313 nucleotides) under Hevea brasiliensis (rubber tree). Lineage: Eukaryota; Viridiplantae; Streptophyta; Magnoliopsida; Malpighiales; Euphorbiaceae. The record is from RNAcentral.